Molecule: long non-coding RNA, 555 nt
Organism: Neltuma alba
Lineage: Eukaryota; Viridiplantae; Streptophyta; Magnoliopsida; Fabales; Fabaceae
Exons: 2
Source: RefSeq, a predicted model, not a curated record
CGCGAUAGGAAGGCUCUUUCCCUCCACAUCGUCGUGACUCGUGAUUCUGCCUGUGUUCGGUAGGUUCCUCAACUCCUCGGUGCUAACAAUUGUGAUUGAUGCGAGUCUGGAUUCAAGUCGCCUAACUUAAUAGCAACCAUCGUCUUAGCUCUUUGUGGAGUUGAAUUCAGAUUCAACAACUCCUUGAUGUAUGAGCAAGGAAUUGGUCGGUUAUCGGAAGUGGAUUUGAAUUGGUAUUUACCAAUGUCCCGCUGUACGAACAAGUUUGCUCAAACUUGAAAUGAAUAUCAAGAAUUUCUAAUUUGCAGCUUCUGUUUUACUCAGCGGUAAGUCAUUUGUUGAUUAGACGAGAAAAGAAUAAAAGAACUUGUGAAUUUGUUUUUGUCACGGAUGCUGUCGGACUAUGCAUAAAUUAUAAUAGGAUCUGCUUGCUUGGUGUCCUUGUGUCUGUUCUCUGUUGCUUCUUGUACAUACGGAGGACAUGGCUGUCUCACGGCCAAGCAUGCAUUGAUACUAUUUGCCCUUGCCUUUUUAUUUAAGAACCAUUCUCUUGUA